AUCAUUUGUCAGAGCAUCGGUCAGGAUUAAAUAUGUGUCGAGAACACAUCUAAACAUAAUAACAUUUAGAGUUAUCUGUUCAACUUCCACUGAUGUAGAGGUCAGUGUUACAGUAAACUGAAGUAACUCAAAAGAGUAGCAAUAGAUAAUGUGGAAAGGCAUAUGCAUUUUCAGUCACAAAUGAUGGGUCGCAAUACUUCAUUCAAAAGAUAACUUUCUUUUUUAGGGAUUGACUUCUUUGACAUCCCGCUUCAAAGUUACAAAGAACAGACAUGUCUUUUAAACACUGUUUAGCUCAAACACCUCUAACAAAAAAUAUUUUUUCCUCCACAACUCAGGAAGCUGUAAGCCUCUGGUACAACAGUGCAGACAGGUUUACAUCCCAUCUGUAACAUGGAUUUUAAACCUAGCAGGGGAAGUGGAAGUAGACAAAAGGGUUGUAUCUGGGAGUAUCAGGGAGUGGAGCCUCUUAAGGGAGUAAGGCUUUUUAAAAGGUAAUUCCUUGAUGCUCUCGGUUCGGUACACCUCUCAUGGAUCGCUCAAGAUCAAAGGAUGACUCAAACAAACGUACCUUCAUCCAUCUAGUCUGGCCCUGAACAGCAGAACACACCAUCAAAUCUUCUGUUCCAGGGUGAAACCACCAACAACUUUGCUUCAACUCUCCGUUAGUCAAAGCAACCAAUGCAUCAGGUCUCAGAAGAGGAACAGCAGGGCUGAAAUUAGGGGGGAAAUGUUGCCUGGCA
This is a long non-coding RNA of Esox lucius (northern pike), 743 nucleotides long. The record is from Ensembl. NCBI's taxonomy places the organism in Eukaryota, Metazoa, Chordata, Actinopteri, Esociformes, Esocidae.